RNAcentral lists this unclassified non-coding RNA (3503 nucleotides) under Dimorphilus gyrociliatus. Its description in RNAcentral is "ammonium_transp domain-containing protein". Lineage: Eukaryota; Metazoa; Annelida; Polychaeta; Dinophilidae. The record is from RNAcentral.
CAUUUAGUAUUUGAUAAGGAGACAUGAAAGUCGCAAAAUUACCGACGAUAUUAGUUAUCGUUCAAGUUUUGUUCAUCGUCUUUUUCGCAAUAUUUGCAGAUUAUGCACCGAGUGCUAAUGCCAAAUAUCCAGAAAAUUCAAAAGAUGCUGAUAAAGGAGGAGCUGAUCCUAGCAAGAAUAAAUUGCAUAGCCUUUACGAUAUGUUCCAGCACGUUCACGUAAUGAUUUUUAUCGGUUUCGGUUUUUUAAUGACUUUCUUAAGAAGAUAUGGUUUUAGUUCGGUUGGUUUUAAUAUGCUAAUUGCAGCAUUUGUAAUACAAUGGCACAUGAUAACUCACGGUUUAUUACAUAUGGCUACUGAACAUUCGUCAAGUUUUAAAAUAGACAUUGAAUCAUUAUUAACAGCUGAUUUUGCUGCUGCUGCCGUACUUAUUUCUUUUGGUGCUGUUUUGGGCAAAACUAGUCCUUUGCAGUUGAUCGUUAUGGCUUUUAUUGAAAUUAUAGUAUUCGUUUGUAAUGAAUAUAUAGGUUUAUACUUUUUCAAGGCCUCUGAUGUUGGAGGUUCAAUGUUUGUUCAUAUAUUUGGAGCAUAUUUUGGUAUUGCUGCAGCUAGAAUCUUGUAUAAUUCUAAAGUAGAAGACAGUAAGAAGGAGGGUUCCAAUUACCAUUCUGAUUUAUUUGCAAUGAUUGGUACAAUUUUCCUUUGGUUAUAUUGGCCAAGCUUUAAUAGUGCCCUAGCUCCUGGAGAUGACCAACAUCGUGCAGUUAUAAAUACGUACCUCGCACUUGCUUCUUGCGUUAUUGUUGCGUUUGCGAUUAGUUCAAAUUCAAAGGAAGCUAAAUUCGAUAUGGUUCAUGUUCAAAAUGCUACUCUAGCCGGUGGUGUUGCUGUUGGAACUAGUGCUAAUUUUAUGAUAGGACCUUGGGGAGCUCUCCUUAUAGGAUCUGUCGCCGGUGCUAUUUCCGUUGUUGGCUAUAAAUAUAUAACGCCUUAUUUGGCACGUAGGUGGAAAGCACAUGACACAUGUGGCGUUAACAAUCUUCAUGGAAUGCCUGGAAUAUUAGCUGGUUUAUUUGGAGCCAUUUUUGCCUCAUUUGCUUCAGUUGACAGAUACGGCAAUGGCCUGUACGAAAUUUUCCCUGCAAGAGCUCCAAUGGAAAAUUCAACAAAGCUUUUAGAAAUUCAGGCUAAUUUCACUAUUUCUGCCGGUGAUGAUAGAAGCGCUGUUCAACAAGGAGGAUAUCAAUUUUUAGCAAUGGCAGUUACAUUAAUUGUAGCUUUAGUUGCCGGUGCAAUAACAGGUUUUAUUAUGAAGAUGUCGCCACUUGAUCCAGUUAAAGAACGACACCUUUUCGAUGACGGUCACUAUUGGGAAACUCCUUCUGAUUUUGAUGAAGCAGUACAAUUCUGCAAUGGAACUGACAACUGUGAAACAGUGAAUUUAAAAUCAUUUGAUGAUGAAAAGAAUGCGGAGGACCCUGAUAAUUAGAGCGUUGUAUUCAGGAAGGAAGAAGAUAGGCCUAUCUUUAUUAGAAAAGUCUUGCAUGUAGUUUAUAAUAUUAUCUUUAACGUUCUGUUUUUUUAUAAGUAGAAUUUUUACAGAAUCUUGAAACAAUAAAGAGAACAUUUAUUUAGUUAGUUUUAAAUCAAUUUUUAGUUUAUGCUUUGAUAUAGAAAAUUAUUUUUGCUAUUCAAUUUUAACACAUUUCAACGCAAAGUGCUAUUCCCAUUCCACCACCUAUGCAUAAUGCACAGACACCUUUACGGAGGCCCCUAGAUUUAAGAGCGUAUAAUAAAGUUACCAAAACUCUAGAUCCAGAUGCUCCAAUAGGAUGUCCAAGAGCAAUAGCACCCCCAUUAACAUUAACUUUGUUGAUAUCAAUACCUAAUUCACGAAUAACACAAAUUGAUUGGGCAGCGAAAGCUUCGUUUAGUUCGUAUAAGUCAACUUCAUCUUUCGUCCAAUUUGCUUUUGCUAGAGCUUGGGUUACAGCUGAGAUAGGUCCAAUACCCAUUAUGGCAGGAUCAACACCAGUCUGACCCCAAGAAACAAUUUUUGCUAAACCCUUGAUAUUCCUCUUUCCUGCCUCUUCAGCGUUCAUUAGAAGAACAGCGGCUGAACCAUCAUUUAUUCCAGAAGAAUUUCCAGCAGUUACAGUUCCAGUUGGUUUAAAAGCUGGGCGUAGUUUUUCGAAUCCUUCUAUCGUGCAACCGGAUCUUGGGAAUUCAUCUUUGUCAACAACGAUUGUUUCUUUACGAGUUUUAAUAUGCACGGGAACUAUCUCUGCGUCAAAUGCUCCAGAUUUUUGAGCUGUUUCGCACUUUAAUUGAGAUUGAAGAGCAAAUUCGUCUUGUUCUUUUCUAGAGAUGGACCACCUUUCCGCGAUAUUUUCUGCUGUUAUGCCCAUAGGCAUUUUGCCGAAUGCAUCAACUAGACCGUCAUUUAGAGCAGAGUCCACCAUCUUCGUAUCUCCCAUUUUAUGAGGGCUUCUUAAGUGGAUAAGGUGAGGUGCUUGGCUCAUACUUUCUUGACCACCUGCUACAACAAUUGCAGAAUUGCCACACAUGAUACUUUGAGCACCGAGUGCUACAGCUUUCAAUCCUCCACCACAGACCAUGUUCACGCUCCAUGCCGGAACAGAGUGUGGUACACCAGCGUUAACAGAUGCCUGGCGGGCUGGAUUUUGACCUUCACCAGCAGUUAGUACAUGAGCCAUAAUAACUUCAUGAACAUCAGCUGGCACUAAUCCGCUCCUUUUAAUGCAUUCUAGAAUUGAUAUUGUUCCAAGUUGACUGCCAGUAAAGGAACUUAGAGAUCCGUUGAACGACCCUAUAGGUGUCCUUGCAGCAGAAACGAUCAGGACAGACAUAGUGUUCCAGUGAGACUGCGAAAAUGUGUUGAAAGUUAAUUGAUUGAUAGACAGAUCAGAUUUUAUUGGUAUUCAUAUUCAAGGGUUUCUCAUAUAUAAAGUAAGCUUUCACCGGCUUAUUGAAUUAUUAGAUAAAGAAUUGUCUAGGUAAUUUUUUAUUUUUAUAUCUAGAGAUAAAGUUUGUAUUCAUCAUUUUAAUCUAAACCUUAUCAGUUCAGAAAAACCCAAGAAGAUUCACUCUUGCCGCAUAUCAUCUGGCGCGAUUAGUGGAACAAAGCAUUCACCGGCCAUGUUCAAUAGAAAUAUUACACAAUAUUUCCAGUUAUUUUGUAACAUUUUACUUAUUUCAAUUCUAAGACCAAAUAGUAAAGCGUUAUUACCUUAAUUAAAACUUCUCGGGUAUUAAAAUUGUCUAAUACUUUAUUUUCGAUUUUGGUUGCCGACUUGAAUGCGCAUGCGUACGAUCACGCCAUCUUCCGUUUUAAAUAACCUGUUACACAUUAGGCCUAACACUCUAUUCUAUUAUAGAAAAAAAGAUGGGAUAAGAGGAGAUAUAAAAAGAUGAAAUCAAGAGAUUCAAUAAUUUAACAAAAACUGACUUAAAUGUUAAAAUAUUUUUAAUUUAAAAAAAA